Long non-coding RNA from Phyllostomus discolor (pale spear-nosed bat), 552 nucleotides. RefSeq lists it as uncharacterized. The transcript has 3 exons. The record is from RefSeq and is a predicted model, not a curated record. Lineage: Eukaryota; Metazoa; Chordata; Mammalia; Chiroptera; Phyllostomidae.
AGCCAGACUGCUUGGGUUCAAACCCUGGCUCCCCCCUUCUUAGCUGUGGACUAACCUCUCUCCACUUUGUUUGGCAGUGAGCACUUGGUGUCAGCUCUCAUGGCUCCGUUUUUCACCAAGACUGUGUGGCUUUCCACGUUAGUUGCUCAGUUGUCAGUAGUGUAGCAGUUUGUCCAAAUAGUCCUGGUGGUGCUUUGAGUCUCCCCCACUGUUUUUAUGUUUUUGUUUUGUUUUGUGCAAUAAGGUCAUUUUAAAGGGUCUCUUCCUCCUUGUAACAAAGAGUUGAAAAUCUGAGUCUCAGAAAGUCUUAUUACAUUGGUUAUAACAAAAUCCCGUUUCUGGUUUUUUUUUUACUUUUUACUUUUUAUUUAUUUAUUAUUUUUUACUCCAUGUCCCCCCAUUCACAAUGCAGACCAGGCAAAGGGCCUGGGCUGAGGUGUACAUGGGGUGGGUUUACUCUGCCUCCUCUUUCUGUACAUGCAGUGUAAGAACACAGCCUGUGGUAAGCACUGGGAGGCCCUAAGGGAGGGUUUUCAGGAACAUGUAUAAAGG